This 373-nucleotide ribosomal RNA is filed under the name uncultured bacterium. Its description in RNAcentral is "bacterial SSU rRNA". It matches the Rfam family "Bacterial small subunit ribosomal RNA", at positions 527 to 898 of the family's 1533-position model. The record is from RNAcentral.
GGAGGGUGCGAGCGUUGUCCGGAAUCACUGGGCGUAAAGGGCGCGUAGGCGGUGGCCUAAGCGCGCGGUGAAAGCCUGGGGCUCAACCCCGGGUCGGCCGUGCGGACUGGGCGACUCGAGCACCGUAGGGGCAGGCGGAAUUCCGGGUGUAGCGGUGGAAUGCGUAGAGAUCCGGAAGAACACCGGCGGCGAAGGCGGCCUGCUGGGCGGUGGCUGACGCUGAGGCGCGACAGCGUGGGGAGCAAACAGGAUUAGAUACCCUGGUAGUCCACGCCGUAAACGAUGGGCACUAGGUGCCUGGGGGAGCGACCCCCCGGGUGCCGGCGCUAACGCAUUAAGUGCCCCGCCUGGGGAGUACGGCCGCAAGGCUGAA